AUGGACGCGCUCGUCUCGGCGGCGGUGGAGGAGGUCUGCGCCCGCCUCUCCCUGGGCCUCCCGGUGGCGGACCUCUGGGCCGCGCUCUCCGGCGCGUUCCGGGCGGCCGGCCUCCCCCCCGGCCUGCCCGUCAGGCGCGUCCUCUUCGCCCGCCUCCUCGCCCUCCCCGUCAUCAGCCUCAUGGAGGGCGAGGAGGGGGCGCUCGUCCCCUCCCCGGAGAAGGGCGACGUGGAGGCGGCCGAGCGGCGCGGCGCCCGGCUGGUCGCCAGCCCGGCCCUGGGGGACAACUUCCUGGGGAUCUACGACCACCGGUGCUCCGGCUCCAAGCUCAGCGACAACCAGAGGAAGACGCUGGAACAUGUCGCUGCAAGCAGGACUUCCGGUGUUGCGCAAAGGACUCUGUCGAAGAGGUUCCACAUAGAACCAAACAAGUUCUAUUUUGUUGUCAAGACCCUUCAGUCGCAGGGGUUAGUUGCUGGAAAACAAGCAAUUGUAAAGUCUAAUGGCAUUGGGGGUGAGAGCGAAGAUGAUUCAGGGAAAAGUCUUGUCGGCAGUACCAACUUACUGUAUCUCUCAAGAUACGCCAAAGGAUUGGAUAUGAACUCGCAUCAAAGAAUAGAGAUUACAAACACAGACGCUUUACAAGAAGAUGAGACCCUUGGUGUAGACCACAAGAGCCAUGUCUCUAUUCACGAUCAUCUUCCAGCAAUGAAAGCCAUAUGUGACAAACUUGAAGAAGCCAGCGGAAAGGUCCUUGCUAUUUCAGAUAUAAAAAAGGAUCUUGGUUACAGCAAGCCACGUGGGCACAGGGCAUGGAGAAAUGUACUGUGUAGGCUUUUAGAUGCACAGCUUGUUGAAAAAAUCAGUGCCAAAGUUGACAAUAAGGUUGUUGGCUGCUUGCGCCUUCUGAAGAAAUUUAAUCCAGAUGAGUUUAAGCCAAAAAGUACAGCCUUAAACUACAAACUUGGCAUGAAAUGCCUUGCAACGGAUCAACUUAUGGAGCUUCCAUUAGACAACUGCAUAUACGAUAUGAUCCAUGCCCAAGGGCCAAAAGGUGCAACUCUUGUUGAGCUUGGCAGACGUCUUGGGGGCAAGCACAGCAAUCCAAAAGAGCUUGGUAGAAGAGUGUCUUCAAUGGUUAAAAAAUUCAAUUUGGCUUCGCAGGGUGAAGUCAUAGAUAAAACAACACAAUACCGAUUUUGGACUUCAGAAAACUUCUCACUGCACAAAGCAAAUACUGCUUUGCAGAAUUGUGAUGCGCUAGAUGAUCAUGACCAUCGUCCCGAUUUGUGGCUUUCUAUUCCAUCUAAAGAAUCAGAUUCUCUUAGCCCACAGGGUGAUUCAUUUGUUGAUGACAAACUCUUGUUUGAAGAAGAUUGUUCUGAAAAACCAGUCGUACUUGUACAUCAUCUCCCUAAUAACCAUGAAGCUUCUGUCGGAGUUUCUCAAGUUGAACAAGUUGCCUUUCAGAGCAAGAGGCGUCGUUGGCCCUUGUCAACUUCUGAUGAUGGGAGACAGAAAAGGAUUCUUCACAUAUUAGAGAAAAAGGAUUUUGUACUGAUGGUGGAGUUACGUAAAUGGUUAGAGAAAAAGGAAAAUGGAAAAAUAAUGGACAGGAAGACAUUGAUUCGCACUUUGAAUAAGCUUCAGCUAAAGUGUAUCAAAGUUAAUGCCCCUCUUGUUACAGACUACACUGGCAGUCGUUCUGUUGAUGUGAUACUGAAUCCUUCUGUCAAGGUCAUGUCACCGGAACUCAUGGAUCAAAUUAGGAACAGACUAAGGAAUUUUGAUUCUCAAAGGCGUUCAAGUGCGGCAGCUAAAUUGAAGCAAAAGCAUACGCUUGCCAUACAUGGAUUGAAGGUUCAACGCAGAGCCAAAGUUAAAAAAAUACCAAUAUCAGAAGCUAUUCAUGCCAAUGGAUUCAUAGGUGCAAAGAUGAUUCGGGCAAAGCUGUUACAUAAAUUUCUGUGGGAAUAUGUUAGUGGUUUGCCAAAUCUUCAUUGUGCCAAAGAAGGGCAGCAUGACAAGAACCUUAAUCAAUCGUGUCAGUUUUCGAUCACAGCAGCUAUAAAAGAAAUGCCUCUUGAACUCUUUCUACAAGUUGUGGGAUCAGCAAAGAUUGACAGCAGCACUGUAACUAAGUGUUGUGGGAGAACACUUUCAGAGAUUCCUAUCGGCGUAUACAGUCAGCUCACGGGCACUCAUGCCAAGGGCCGCCUCUCACGCUUAGUAACUAUUUUAAAUAGGCUCAAGUUGAUCGAACUUGUUAGCAACCAUGUAGAGGAUUCUGAUGUGCGAUCAGGGGAUAUCCCUACAUAUUCGCUGGAGCUCAGGCCUUACAUUGAAGAACCAGCACCAAGCAUUGUUCAGUCAUCACACGUCAGUGUGAACCAUGGUCCAAAAUUUCGGCAUGAUUUUGUGCUUUCAAAGCAGGAAUCUGUCGAUGCUUACUGGGAAACAUUAAAGUACUGUUAUCUAACAGUUGGUUCAGCUGAGCCAAGUGCCUUCCCUGGUAAUUGUGUUCCUGAGGUUUGUCAUGUACGGUCAUGGAGUUCAGUAAGAGUAAUGACUACCAAACAACGUCUGGAAUUACAAACGCGUCUCAUGAAUGAAAACGAGAAGGGAAUAAUUCCUCACAAAGUUUGCUGUAUAAUUGCAAAGGAUUUGAAUCUCUCUGUGCAGCAGGUGCUUUAUGCUUCCUCCAAGAAUAGACAGCUUCAUGGACAGGCAAGCAUUUCUGAUACGCAACAUCAACAAAAAUCUAAUUCUAGAUCAACCUCUCAGAAAAGGAAAAGAUCGGCUAAUGAGAUUGCCAUGAAGUUUAUUAAGCAAAAAGUUGAAGCUAGUGGAUCAUCCUCACAGAGGUUAGUCAAGUCUAUUCUGGAUGGAGAAAUAACAGAGAAAAUCUCUCCAUCACUCACUGGCCUACCAGAACAACGUCAUCGAGCUGGCAUUACUCCCACACACAACAUUGUUGGUACUUUCUUGCAUACAAAUAAAGACAAGAGGGGCAGCAGACGCUUGGUAAAGAAAAUUUUCUUUUGGACAUCCGAAUCUGACAGAAAAUUGCUCAUGGCAUACAGUAGAUACCGCACAAGACGUGGAGCAAAAAUAUCCCGUGUAGCUUGGAACUCUAUUUCUGAUCUUCCAGCUCUACCAGCUGCAUGUCGUAAAAGGAUGUCAAGUUUAAGAGCUAAAACAAACAUAAGAACAGCUGUGAAUCGAAUCUGCAACAUUCUUGCAAUACGGUACAAGAGAUCAAAAGCAAAAGAAUUAUCAAAUUCUAGUUAUGAGAAUUCUGCAGAUUCAGAUUCUGAGGUAUUCAAUUGGGAUAAUUUCAAUGAUCCGGAAAUAAGAAAUGCACUUGAUGAAAUCCUUGAAUUCAUUCGUCUAGGAAACAUGGGCCAGACCAAUCGGAUUAGUCCAGAGAGCGAAAGGAGGAAUGAUGAUGCCGCUGAGGAAAUUCCAACUGAGCAGGUUAUGCAAUGUCCAACCAGCACAAGCACUGUAGCUCCAGAGAUCGUGGAAUUGUGUACAUGUUCCAAUUCAAUGCAUCCAAGUAAAAACAUGGCAAUUCCCUGCAGUGUUCAUGAAAACAACAUUAAACCCAACAAAGCUGAAAUUACUAAAAGAGGUGUAUGCAAAUCCUUGGCAAUUGCCAAUGCAUUAGAGCUCCUGAAGGUGUUUCUUCUCAGUUCAUUAUCGGCUUCAGAAGCACAAGCUGCAUUAAAAGCCACCUUUCAGCUUUAUUCAGAGAGUGAAAUUUUUACUGCCCUUUCCUUUCUGAGAGGGAAGAACUUCUUGGUUACUGGAAAUGGAAUGAAACUUGUAACCCUUUCUGGAAAAUUCUUCUUUGAUGCUUCUUAUUCACCCUUCCCAUAUGGUUCAGGGAAAAAGGCUUCUGAAUUUUUGAAAUGGCUUAUAGGGCAACGAAAGAAUAUUGUGGACAGUACAGUUUAUUUGCAUCCAGAUCCACAAUGCGGGGAAAUUGUUCACCUCUUUUCUCUUGUGUUGUCAGGAGAGCUACUCAUUUCACCUUCCUUACCAAGUGAAGGAGUUGGUGAGGCUGAUGAACCUAACAGCUUCAGUCCUUCAAUCGAGGAUAGCAGUGAUUUGGAUGACUGUACUUACAAACGCAAGAGUACAGAGUUGGAAAGCAGUAGGACUAAGAGACACAAACCUUUUCCCCAUAUAGAUAGCCGCCGAGAGAAAGGUUUCCCUGGUAUCCAAGUGGCUUUGAAUCAAGAGAUGAUCCAAACAAACAAUCCCAUGCAGGUGUUACAUCAUAAAGAAUGCCUUAUGUUUACUUUAGCUAGGGAAAUGGGCAGCAAGGAUGUUGAUUCAAAGGUAGAAAGCCGUGACAUGUUGCCAGACUUAAACGAUCUGAAUUCAUGUCGCUGUUUAUUGUCUGCAUUUCAUUUGGAGAAUUCUUAUAGAGGAUGGCCUUGGGAUGCUAUGAAAUUAUAUGCCGAACAGUUACCAUCAUUGUGUUGUAAUAAAAAUGAACCGAUCGUUCUUUCAUCUGACCUGUUCAGAAAUGCAUUUUGUAUUAUUCGUCAAACUGGUGAACAAGGAGUUAAUCUGAGGGAAAUGUCACAGGCACUGCAUCCACUAGGCAUGCAAUCUAUCAGUUUGGUUGUUGAUAUGCUUGAGAGAUUUCAGCUGGCCAUUAAGGUCAAUGCAUAUGAUGGUGUGCAGAUUGUUGACUCAUUACAUAAGCCAAAGUAUCAUAUAACCACACUCGCCGAGUACAGCCAUUGCAGCUGUUUGCGAGCUCCAGGUUCUGAAAUGGCAUCAACUGGAGACACCAGAAAUAUACUGAAAGAGAAGCACUCGACGAUGCCUCUUAAUUUGCAUGGAACUGUAAGGAAGCUUGGCGAGGGGCACACUGUCACAGUUGUUGAUGUUGAAAGGAAGUCAAGCUCUCAUUUGCAGAGUGGAAGUCCUGGAGAUGAUGAAAGGCCAUCUACUUGCUGUCAUGUUUGCAGAAGUCGUAUUUAUCAUCCAAUAUUACCGUGGAUAAACGGCGAUGGCAGCACGAAUAGCACUGUCUAUGAAGGUUUAAGCCGUCGUAUUAUUGGAUAUGUCAUGCAAUAUCCAGGAAUUUCGGAGGAGGACGUAAUCCGUCGGAUGGACGUACUGAAUCCUCAGACAUGCAGGACCUUGCUGGGGAAGCUGACAGUUGACAAACACCUGUAUGUUCAUGUUGGGGUGUUUGAUGAAGAUGUGCCUAGUGCUCCCACCAUGCUGCGGGGUCUUUUGAAGCAAGGUCGCUGUGAAGAACGCUCCAAGUCUGCAAGGCGGCGCUACUUCGCGAAUCCGAUGAGCACCUUCAUGCUGUAG
RNAcentral lists this ribosomal RNA (5343 nucleotides) under Triticum aestivum (bread wheat). RNAcentral describes it as "partial small subunit ribosomal RNA". The record is from RNAcentral. Lineage: Eukaryota; Viridiplantae; Streptophyta; Magnoliopsida; Poales; Poaceae.